CGCUGCUCAGAGCAAAACCGCCGAAAGGCGGUGACGCAGAGCUAGGGGACUACGGCGACCAGCGGUCGCCAGGUCAGCCCGGCCGCCAGC
This is a non-coding RNA of Gemmatimonadetes bacterium 13_1_40CM_70_15, 90 nucleotides long. Lineage: Bacteria; Pseudomonadati; Gemmatimonadota. The record is from Rfam.